Molecule: long non-coding RNA, 342 nt
Organism: Acanthopagrus latus (yellowfin seabream)
Lineage: Eukaryota; Metazoa; Chordata; Actinopteri; Spariformes; Sparidae
Exons: 2
Source: RefSeq, a predicted model, not a curated record
GUUUCUUUUCACACAGCUCUUUUUGUAGUCUGUUCAGCCCACAGUGACUUCUGACAUUCAUGCUAAUUACUCAGGACAGCUUCAGAGAUGACAGGAAACAGAACGACAGAUCGGGGGUGAUACGCAGCAAAGGGCCCCAGGCAGGGACUCAAACCCAGGGCCACUGCAGGGAACCCGCUCUACCAACUGAGCCAACAGGUCCAAUUGUGUUGAUUCUGUUUACAGGAUGCACUGACCUGAGUUAAUCCUCCCCAAAAUUCAUCCUACACACUUUUUCAAUUGAAUUACUUAUCUGACCUGGAUACCUAUGAACCGUAUCUAAAAACCUGGUUUUCUUGCUAA